GCAGGCGGUGCCCGGAUCUCUUCCGCCGCCAUUUUCUCUGCCGCGUAGGUCUCUGCUCUCUCUGCCGCUUGCCCUCGCCGCCCCGCUGCCCUCGCCCCACCAUGGAGGACUCAACCGAGAUGAGCGGCGGCCAGGAGGAGUUCGCUGAGGGCUCCAAGAUUAACGCGAGCAAGAACCAGCAGGACGACGGGAAAAUGUUCAUCGGAGGCCUCAGCUGGGACACCAGCAAGAAAGACUUGACGGAGUAUCUCUCUCGGUUUGGCGAGGUCGUGGAUUGUACAAUUAAAACAGACCCGGUGACUGGGAGGUCGAGGGGAUUUGGGUUCGUGCUCUUCAAGGACGCUGCCAGUGUGGAGAAGGUAUUGGAACUGAAGGAACACAAACUGGACGGGAAGUUAAUAGAUCCUAAAAGGGCAAAAGCUCUAAAAGGAAAGGAGCCACCAAAAAAAGUGUUUGUUGGUGGGCUGAGCCCAGAUACAUCUGAAGAACAGAUUAAGGAGUACUUUGGUGCUUUUGGCGAGAUUGAGAACAUUGAGCUUCCCAUGGACACAAAGACAAAUGAAAGGAGAGGCUUUUGUUUCAUCACAUACACAGAUGAAGAGCCGGUAAAGAAGCUGCUAGAAAGUAGAUACCAUCAAAUUGGUUCAGGCAAGUGUGAGAUCAAAGUAGCACAGCCCAAAGAGGUAUACAGGCAACAGCAGCAGCAGCAGAAAGGAGGCAAAAGCAAUGCUUCUGGUGGUCGAGGAGGUGGAAGGGGACGUGGCCGGGGUCAGGGACAGAACUGGAAUCAAGGAUAUAAUAACUACUAUGAUCAAGGCUAUGGGAACUACAACAGCACCUACAGUGAUCAAAGCUACAGUGGCUAUGGAGGCUAUGACUACUCUGGGUACAACUACCCCAAUUACGGAUACGGGCCGGGAUACACAGAUUACAGCGGCCAGCAAAGCACGUACGGAAAGGCAUCCCGCGGCGGUGGCAACCAUCAAAACAACUACCAGCCCUACUAAAGCACUACCUAGCACUGGAGGAAAACAGCGGGAACUUCAUUGCAGGCCGUGUGUCACCCUGACCACGUCUAUCUCUGGGGUCGCACGUUGCAGGCAGAGCGCAAGGCAUACACCAGAAAACGCUGUCCUGUGGUGAGAAAGAACUGCAACAGAGCCAUCUUUGCAGCACCUCCUGAGUGAGUUUGAGUGGAAGGGUGGCCUCCAUGAAAGGAACUGACUCUUUUGUAAAAGACUUUUUAGUGUUUGACACAGCUGUGUCCCAACUGUACAUAGCAGCUCACUAGUUUUCUGUUCUGGAUUUUGCUUU
RNA transcript from Dryobates pubescens (Downy woodpecker), 1314 nucleotides. It is a transcript of the gene named heterogeneous nuclear ribonucleoprotein D like, with no coding region annotated. The record is from RefSeq and is a predicted model, not a curated record. NCBI's taxonomy places the organism in Eukaryota, Metazoa, Chordata, Aves, Piciformes, Picidae. The transcript has 9 exons.